UUGGGAAUCUUAGGCAAUGGGCGAAAGCCUGACCUAGCGACGCCGCGUGAGGGAAGAAGGCCUUCGGGUCGUAAACCUCUGUCAUGGGGGACGAAGGAAGUGAGGUACCCCAAGAGGAAGCCCCUGCUAACUACGUGCCAGCAGCCGCGGUAAUACGUAGGGGGCGAGCGUUAUCCGGAAUUAUUGGGCGUAAAGGGCGAGUAGGCGGUCUGUUAAGUCAGGUGUGAAAUUUCAGGGCUCAACCCUGAAACUGCGCUUGAAACUGGCAGGCUAGAGGACAGGAGAGGGAAGUGGAAUUCCCGGUGUAGCGGUGGAAUGCGUAGAUAUCGGGAGGAACACCGAGUGGCGAAGGCGGCUUCCUGGGACUGUACCUGACGCUGAGGAGCGAAAGCUGGGGGAG
Molecule: ribosomal RNA, 400 nt
Filed under: uncultured bacterium
Lineage: Bacteria
Description: bacterial SSU rRNA
Rfam family: Bacterial small subunit ribosomal RNA
Source: RNAcentral